AUGAACGGCACCGCCGGUGUGGGAGUGAAGCUGAGGCAGAUUUAUUCGUCCGGGCGCCGCUCCCACCACCAGAACGGCACACCACGACCUACAAAUCCAAAACCUAACUACAGAACGGAGGAACGGGGUCCCCCCUCCCUCCUGCCGCCGGAGCAGCCGGGGGGAGAGGGGGCCAACCCCUGGCCGGCUGAGAUCGGAGGAAAAAAGUCGCCUCCCAAGUCGCCUGGCGUGGCGGCGGCUAGGGUAGGGAAGUCGCGAUUCUCGGGCUCCCGCGCCCCCUUGCUACUGGGUCACCAAACCCCUGACGAAUUGAUUUUCCAAAGGACAAGAGACUGGGCGGGAGCAAAGAUUGCUUCAUGGGAUUGGUCUUGGGAAUUUUGUCGUGCAUCCUCCAACAACCAACGGUGUUGCAAGGAAUAUGAUACUGUUGGGACGGAUGCUGGAUCGACGUUGGUGAAUAGUUCGCCGGUUAUUUUUCGCUGGUUUUAUUUCGUCCCAUCACUUUCGUCGGUUUUUUUUCGUCUCCCCUCCCCCUCCCACACGCAAGACGCCGCGAUCUCUUGCGAUCUUGCUGCCUCCGGGAUCGGCGUCUCUCGCCGCCACCGACCUCCAGGAUCGGCGUCUCUCGCUACCGCGGGAUCCCGCAUCAUACCAGAGGAGACACUGUCUACGGAAUCCGGGAUCAACGCCGCGGACGUAAGGGAUCACCGUCGCCGACCUUCCAGACGAGACAUCGCCGCCGCCGACCUCCGAGGGGAGACGCCGCCGCCACCUGUCGUAAACCCUAGGACAGGGCGGUUUCAACUUUCAACCCCAGGGCAGGCCGACAACUUGUCGAUUUGUUGUUCUUCCCUUAUAAGAUCCUUGAGGAUAGGUGCGGCAACUAGCGACACAUGGUGGAGCUUCUGGCGGCGGCAUUACCUGUAUCCACCUCUCCCUGUUGCGGGGUGGAAGUUGUCGAUGUUGUUCAAUUGUAUGCUGCCCCUUGAGGGGAAGCCGUGCGUGCGCCCAGUGAGGAGAAGCGGCAAGGGCUCCAGGUGUGAGAGGCUGAAGCUCGGGGACGACGCCAUCAUGCACAAGAGGGCAUACAGGAGAAUUAUAAUUGCCGGCUGCCGUGCAAAACCACCUUUGGCGAUCAAGAAACAAGAGUCGGCGGCGGCUGGAGCCAUCAUUGACCACGACCGUGCCAGGAGCACCGGGGAAAAGGCGAGGACAUGUUGUUUAUUCUUCUUGCUGGAAGGAUAUGUCGUGAAAGAUGAUCCAGAUGCUAUUAAAGAUAUGGUUGCUCUUGCUUCAUCUAAAUGGGAGCAUCAACUACAUGUUAUGUCAGGCUUGACCAUAUCAGAGAGAGAGAGAGAGAGAGAGAGAGAGAGAGAGAGGGAGGGAGGGAGGGAGGGAGAUGCAAUUUCCUGGAUAUUUAUGACUCUAUUCAGGUAUGACUCUAUUGUCGUCCUUCUCUUGUUCACCCGGAAGUUUAUUGACAGGAAGGAAGCCACUUCUGCUUUGAUGAUUUCUUGGAAGUUCAGAUCCUUGAGGUCAGGUGCGGCAACUAGCAACAUGUGCUGGAGCUUCUGGCGUCGCUGGCGGCGGCAUUACCUAUAUGGACCUCUCCCUGGUCGCUUUCAAGAGUGUGUGCGGGCUUGCCCGGCGACAGGAAAAGCACAAGCUUCAGAGCCACAAUCCCCGGCUGCACCGCGGGCUUGCCCGGCGACAGCGUCUCCUGUGGUGGUGAGGAGGGAGGGAGGGUUAGGCUGCCGGGAGGGGCGGCGCGUGGGAGGGAGGCUGUGUCCACAUGUGCAAACAGAUGGCCCUGCUCAUCGGGCUCAAGUAGCAGCGAGCAAGGCCAGCGACAACGGAAAUGUUAUGGCUGGCACCCAUGCACCUCUACUUGACUUCAAUGCACCUUUGUGUUCUGUAAUCCUUUUCCAACAAUCUGAUGGUUUGUGCAGACCAUCAGAGGUGGGGCACUUGGAAGGUGGGGGCAUUAAAGAGCAGAUGAACUGGGCUGAGGCCCUCGUGGCUGCACUCGAAGUUGAGAACAACAAGGAGAUGGGGAUGAAUGGAGCGUCAAGUACUAUUGUGUGCAUGGAUCUUCUUAUGCUGACCAUCUUGAAAUGGAGAUUGCAGGCCUUGUCUCUGUUUACUUUCGUCAUCACCUACUUUCCGAAGAAGUUUGGUGAUGGAAGCCAUCGAGUUUUGUACUUAUCUUAUAUGCAGACAUCAUUGUUGUUAGUACAGAAGUUCCAUUAA
RNAcentral lists this ribosomal RNA (2250 nucleotides) under Triticum aestivum (bread wheat). Its description in RNAcentral is "partial small subunit ribosomal RNA". The record is from RNAcentral. Lineage: Eukaryota; Viridiplantae; Streptophyta; Magnoliopsida; Poales; Poaceae.